UAGGGGGCAAGCGUUAUCCGGAUUUACUGGGUGUAAAGGGAGCGUAGACGGCGUUGCAAGUCUGGAGUGAAAGGCGGGGGCCCAACCCCCGGACUGCUCUGGAAACUGUGAAGCUGGAGUGCAGGAGAGGUAAGUGGAAUUCCUAGUUUAGCGGUGAAAUGCGUAGAUAUUAGGAGGAACACCAGUGGCGAAGGCGGCUUACUGGACUGUAACUGACGUUGAGGCUCGAAAGCGUGGGGAGCAAG
RNAcentral lists this ribosomal RNA (245 nucleotides) under uncultured bacterium. RNAcentral describes it as "partial 16S ribosomal RNA". It matches the Rfam family "Bacterial small subunit ribosomal RNA", at positions 528 to 772 of the family's 1533-position model. The record is from RNAcentral.